Molecule: ribosomal RNA, 1103 nt
Filed under: uncultured Basidiomycota
Lineage: Eukaryota; Fungi; Basidiomycota
Description: eukaryotic LSU rRNA
Rfam family: Eukaryotic large subunit ribosomal RNA (bases 668-1103)
Source: RNAcentral
CUUGGUCAUUUAGAGGAAGUAAAAGUCGUAACAAGGUUUCCGUAGGUGAACCUGCGGAAGGAUCAUUACUGAACGAAAUGGGUGGCAAGGCUGUCGCUGGCUCGAAUGAGCAUGUGCACGUCUUUUGCUGCUUGCUUCAUUCUCUUCUCCACCUGUGCACUCUUUGUAGACACUUGGGAUGUGAGAGAGGUUAGCAUUGAUUGUUGACCUCUCUUGAUAUUGAAAAGUCUGGGUGUUUAUGUAUUUUUUGACACACACGUUUGAAUGUCUAUAGAAUGAAAAUGUAGGCUUUUGUCAGCCUUUAAAUGAUAAAAUACAACUUUCAACAACGGAUCUCUUGGCUCUCGCAUCGAUGAAGAACGCAGCGAAAUGCGAUAAGUAAUGUGAAUUGCAGAAUUCAGUGAAUCAUCGAAUCUUUGAACGCACCUUGCGCUCCUUGGUAUUCCGAGGAGCAUGCCUGUUUGAGUGUCAUUAAUAACAUAUGUCAGCCACUCUUGUCUGGGAGUGGUCUGGAAGUGGGGGUUUGCUGGCCUUGGUUGAGGUUCAGCUCUCCUGAAAUGCAUUAGUGGAACGACCUGUUCAUUCAUUGGUGUGAUAAACAUNUACGCUAUUGAAUGUAGGGAUGGUUCGGCUUUCUAACGGUCCUCGGACAAUUCAUCAUUUUAUGUGACCUCAAAUCAGGUAGGACUACCCGCUGAACUUAAGCAUAUCAAUAAGCGGAGGAAAAGAAACUAACAAGGAUUCCCCUAGUAACUGCGAGUGAAGCGGGAAAAGCUCAAAUUUAAAAUCUGGCAGUCUUUGGCUGUCCGAGUUGUAAUCUAGAGAAGUGCUAUCCGCGCUGGACCGUGUACAAGUCUCCUGGAAUGGAGCAUCAUGGGGGGUGAGAAUCCCGUCUUUGACAUGGACUGCCAGGGCUUUUGUGAUGCGCUCUCGAAGAGUCGAGUUGUUUGGGAAUGCAGCUCAAAAUGGGUGGUAAAUUCCAUCUAAAGCUAAAUAUUGGCGAGAGACCGAUAGCGAACAAGUACCGUGAGGGAAAGAUGAAAAGAACUUUGGAAAGAGAGUUAAACAGUACGUGAAAUUGCUGAAAGGGAAACGCUUGAAGU